This 200-nucleotide ribosomal RNA is filed under the name uncultured bacterium. Its description in RNAcentral is "partial 16S ribosomal RNA". It matches the Rfam family "Bacterial small subunit ribosomal RNA", at positions 335 to 527 of the family's 1533-position model. The record is from RNAcentral.
ACUCCUACGGGAGGCAGCAGUAGGGAAUCUUCCACAAUGGACGCAAGUCUGAUGGAGCAACGCCGCGUGAGUGAAGAAGGCUUUCGGGUCGUAAAACUCUGUUGUUGGAGAAGAAUGGUCGGCAGAGUAACUGUUGUCGGCGUGACGGUAUCCAACCAGAAAGCCACGGCUAACUACGUGCCAGCAGCCGCGGUAAUACA